UACAGAGGGUGCGAGCGUUGUCCGGAAUCACUGGGCGUAAAGGGCGCGUAGGUGGCGACCCAAGUCGAUGGUGAAAGCUCGCCGCUCAACGGCGAGUCGGCCACCGAUACUGGGUUGCUGGAGCACUGUAGAGGCAGAUGGAAUUCCGGGUGUAGCGGUGGAAUGCGUAGAGAUCCGGAAGAACGACCGGUGGCGAAGGCGGUCUGCUGGGCAGUUGCUGGACAC
This 225-nucleotide ribosomal RNA is filed under the name uncultured bacterium. RNAcentral describes it as "partial 16S ribosomal RNA". It matches the Rfam family "Bacterial small subunit ribosomal RNA", at positions 524 to 746 of the family's 1533-position model. The record is from RNAcentral.